GACGAACGCUGGCGGCGUGCUUAACACAUGCAAGUCGAACGGAAAGGCCCUGCUUUUGUGGGGUGCUCGAGUGGCGAACGGGUGAGUAACACGUGAGUAACCUGCCCUUGACUUUGGGAUAACUUCAGGAAACUGGGGCUAAUACCGGAUAGGAGCUCCUGCUGCAUGGUGGGGGUUGGAAAGUUUCGGCGGUUGGGGAUGGACUCGCGGCUUAUCAGCUUGUUGGUGGGGUAGUGGCUUACCAAGGCUUUGACGGGUAGCCGGCCUGAGAGGGUGACCGGCCACAUUGGGACUGAGAUACGGCCCAGACUCCUAUGGGAGGCAGCAGUGGGGAAUAUUGCACAAUGGGCGGAAGCCUGAUGCAGCAACGCCGCGUGCGGGAUGACGGCCCUCGGGUUGUAAACCGCUUUCGCCUGUGACGAAGCGUGAGUGACGGUAAUGGGUAAAGAAGCACCGGCUAACUGCGUG
RNAcentral lists this ribosomal RNA (468 nucleotides) under uncultured bacterium. Its description in RNAcentral is "partial 16S ribosomal RNA". It matches the Rfam family "Bacterial small subunit ribosomal RNA", at positions 28 to 507 of the family's 1533-position model. The record is from RNAcentral.